RNAcentral lists this long non-coding RNA (786 nucleotides) under Olea europaea (common olive). Its description in RNAcentral is "long non-coding RNA (OEUR_LNC009374)". Lineage: Eukaryota; Viridiplantae; Streptophyta; Magnoliopsida; Lamiales; Oleaceae. The record is from RNAcentral.
AGACAGAGAGAUGCAGAUUAAAAGUCGGAAAAUAUACAAAAGAUUGUUUAAAUACGAAAAGGGAAAGCCGAAAAUUCAGGUAUCGUCUAAGCCAGCUCUCCAUUGCUCCACAGCAGAGCUCUCACUGCAAGUUCAGCAUUACAUGGUCCAAAAUAUUAACUAAAAGACCUUAAGAUUUAUCCCAAGUGUGGCUGAUUCAUUAGCCUGUCCUAAGCGGUUGAAAUAAGAAGUCACUCCUAUCAGUUUUGAGUACAAAUCCAGAUUACGUCUCUGAUGAUAUCUUUAGGGCCAACCCACGAUAUUGAAAACCAGACAAAACACACCAUAGCAUAACAUUCCAGAUUACGUCUCUGAUGAAAUCUUAAGGCCAACCCACGAUAUUGGAAACCAGACGAAACACACCAUAGGAUAACAUUCGAGAUUAUCCCCUACAACGAGCUUCUGAAGUAGAGAAGUCAAUCUCGUAAAGGUAAUACAAGCACCAGUUACUAUGAGUUCUUGAUAUCUUGAAUGACCACCUGAGCUGCAUUACGUCCGGGAGCACCCAUUACCCCUCCACCUGGAUGGGCCCCGCUCCCGCACAGAUACAAACCUCGUACUGGAGUCCUAUAAUUUGACCUGCAUCCAAGAUUAAAAAUAAAAUUACUGUAUCACAGUCUGAUAAAAGCAAAUAUUUAAGCAAGAAUAAAUGAUAGAUAAUGCUUGAGCAUCAGAAUUAUUAUCCUUUCACUGGUCGCAUAAGAAAGAGUGAAUCUAAUCCCAUGGCACCAUGAAAAAUGUUUCCUC